AUGGCCACACGUCAUCAAUCUAGCAGACAACAGAGGGGGUAUUUAGCAAAAUUGCUUCAAAAAAAACAUCAUUUGUUAUAUUUAUUUCUCUCUCUAUUCGCUCUCAUCUCCAACGCUCUCAACCAACAUACUCACCGAAAAUCGCCCCUUUGGCUGAGCCAUCCUAAAAUGCCCUGGGAUUUCCAGUUUCCGGUUGAAGAUCAACCAGAACAUUCAACCAAACCCAAAAAUUUUAGAACCCUAAGUGAGGACCAUCGUGGAUAG
Molecule: non-coding RNA, 264 nt
Organism: Vicia faba (fava bean)
Lineage: Eukaryota; Viridiplantae; Streptophyta; Magnoliopsida; Fabales; Fabaceae
Source: the annotation of a GenBank genome assembly